AGAACAAGAAGAAGAAGAAGAAGAAGAAGGAGAAUAGACAG
RNAcentral lists this small RNA (41 nucleotides) under Arabidopsis thaliana (thale cress). RNAcentral's name for it is "ATSL305590". Lineage: Eukaryota; Viridiplantae; Streptophyta; Magnoliopsida; Brassicales; Brassicaceae. The record is from RNAcentral.